ACUCAAAUGAAUAGACGGGGGCCCGCACAAGCAGUGGAGUAUGUGGUUUAAUUCGAAGCAACGCGAAGAACCUUACCAGGUCUUGACAUCCCGUGCAUAGCCUAGAGAUAGGUGAAGCCCUUCGGGGCACGGUGACAGGUGGUGCAUGGUUGUCGUCAGCUCGUGUCGUGAGAUGUUGGGUUAAGUCCCGCAACGAGCGCAACCCUUACUGAUAGUUACUACGCGAAGAGGACUCUAUCGGGACUGCCGUUGACAAAACGGAGGAAGGCGGGGAUGACGUCAAAUCAUCAUGCCCUUUAUGACCUGGGCUACACACGUACUACAAUGGCCGUUAACAAUAGGGACCGAUGGGGCGACCCGGAGGAAAUCCAUUAAAAACGGUCUCAGUUCGGAUUGCAGGCUGCAACCCGCCUGCAUGAAGUCGGAAUUGCUAGUAAUCGCGGAUCAGCAUGCCGCGGUGAAUACGUUCCCGGGCCUUGCACACACCGCCCGU
Molecule: ribosomal RNA, 493 nt
Filed under: uncultured bacterium
Lineage: Bacteria
Description: bacterial SSU rRNA
Rfam family: Bacterial small subunit ribosomal RNA
Source: RNAcentral